GCUGGCGGCGUGCCUAAUACAUGCAAGUCGAGCGGACCGACGGGAGCUUGCUCCCUUAUGUCAGCGGCGGACGGGUGAGUAACACGUGGGUAACCUGCCUGUAAGACUGGGAUAACUCCGGGAAACCGGGGCUAAUACCGGAUGCUUGAUUGAACCGCAUGGUUCAAUCAUAAAAGGUGGCUUUUAGCUACCACUUGCAGAUGGACCCGCGGCGCAUUAGCUAGUUGGUGAGGUAACGGCUCACCAAGGCGACGAUGCGUAGCCGACCUGAGAGGGUGAUCGGCCACACUGGGACUGAGACACGGCCCAGACUCCUACGGGAGGCAGCAGUAGGGAAUCUUCCGCAAUGGACGAAAGUCUGACGGAGCAACGCCGCGUGAGUGAUGAAGGUUUUCGGAUCGUAAAACUCUGUUGUUAGGGAAGAACAAGUACCGUUCGAAUAGGGCGGNACCUUGACGGUACCUAACCAGAAAGCCACGGCUAACUACGUGCCAGCAGCCGCGGUAAUACGUAGGUGGCAAGCGUUGUCCGGAAUUAUUGGGCGUAAAGCGCGCGCAGGCGGUUUCUUAAGUCUGAUGUGAAAGCCCCCGGCUCAACCGGGGAGGGUCAUUGGAAACUGGGGAACUUGAGUGCAGAAGAGGAGAGUGGAAUUCCACGUGUAGCGGUGAAAUGCGUANAGAUGUGGAGGAACACCAGUGGCGAAGGCGACUCUCUGGUCUGUAACUGACGCUGAGGCGCGAAAGCGUGGGGAGCGAACAGGAUUAGAUACCCUGGUAGUCCACGCCGUAAACGAUGAGUGCUAAGUGUUAGAGGGUUU
Molecule: ribosomal RNA, 817 nt
Filed under: Bacillus licheniformis
Lineage: Bacteria; Bacillati; Bacillota; Bacilli; Caryophanales; Bacillaceae
Description: bacterial SSU rRNA
Rfam family: Bacterial small subunit ribosomal RNA
Source: RNAcentral